CUCUCUCUCUCUCUCUCUCACAAAAACACACCGGAAGACACAGCAACCCUGCUCAGUAGCUACGAAGUCACUUACCACUGCUUAACACCUCUGAAGUCAACCUAGGUCAUCGGAAGAAGUAGAGGACACCAGAAACCCCCGUCGGCAUCCACCGCAGCAGCUCACCGGAAAACUCAAAAUCGACAGUAAAGGGAUUAUUAAGAUUUGUAAAAGAUUCGAGGGAUUAAGGGCACUAGGGUGCAGAGAAUGAAGGGAAAAGUUCGAAUAUGACAAUUCUAGGCCAAGUCGUCGUCGGAGACGGCGGAAAUAGACGAACACAGUCGGAGCUUCUCGCCAUCGAUUUGUCUUUGAAUCAGUAUGUGCAAUUCACGGGCUGGGUUAUGUAGAGGGGAAAGAGAGAAGAAAUUUGGUGGUGGUUUUGUGGAGAAUGGUGGCCAGAGUCGACCGAGAGGCGUCGGAGAAGACGGCCGAGGACGGAGAGCUUCUCAGCUCUCGUCGUACGCGAGAGAGGAGUGCUUGACCCGACUUGGGUCAGUUGACCUUGGUUGGGUUUUCAAAGAAGGAAUCAACGGUCAAGAUUAAAAGAGAACGAGAUCAAAAUGGUCUACUUGUUUACGAACACUAACCUACCAGUUUUGUAAACAUGGUGUACUAGGUUUUCGAAUCAUUGUCUCACACUACGAGUAGACCAACUCUAAAGUGUCCAAAAUUCACACACACUUGAAGAAUUCUUGAGAGGUUUACAUGUUUAUGAAGCCUGGUCUGCUUAUUUACGAGUACGGGUCUACUUUUUUUGUGAGACAAAAUGGUCUACCUGUUUACGAACACGAACCUACCUGUUUUGUAAACAUGGUCUACCAGGUUUCCGAAUCAUUGACUCAUACUAUGUGUAGACCAACUCUACAGUGUCCAGAAUUCACACACACUUGAAGAAUUUUUAAGAGGUCUAUCUGUUUACGAAGUCUGGUCUGCUUAUUUACGAGAAAGGGUCUACUUUUUUUGUGAGACAAAAUGGUCUACCUGUUUACGAACACUAACCUACCUGUUUUGUAAACAUGGUGUACUAGGUUUUCGAAUCAUUGUCUCACACUACGAGUAGACCAACUCUAAAGUGUCCAAAAUUCACACACACUUGAAGAAUUCUUAAGAGGUUUACAUGUUUAUGAAGCCUGGUCUGCUUAUUUACGAGUACAGGUCUACUUUUUUUGUGAGACAAAAUGGUCUACCUUUUUACAAACAGAAACCUACCUGUUUUGUAAACAUGGUCUAGCAGGUUUUCGAAUCAUUGUCUCACACUACGAGUAGACUAACUCUAAAGAGUCCAGAAUUCACACACUUGAAGAAUUCUUGAGAGGUUUACCUGUUUACGAAGCCUAGUCUGCUUAUUCACGAGUACGGGUCUACUUUUUUUGUGAGACGAAAUGGUCUACCUGUUUACGAACACUAACCUACCUGUUUUGUAAAUAUGGUGUACCAGGUUUCUGAAUCAUUGACUCAUACUACGUGUAGACCAACUCUAAAGUGUCCAGAAUUCACACACACUUGAAGAAUUCUUGAGAGAUCUACCUAUUUACGAAGCCUGGUCUGCUUAUUUACGAGAAAGGGUCUAUUUUUUUGUGAGACAAAAUGGUCUACCUGUUUACGAACAAUAACCUACCUGUUUUGUGAACAUGGUAUACUAUGUUUUCGAAUCAUUGACUCACACUACGAGUAGACCAAUUCUAAAGUGUGCAGAAUUCACAGACACUUGAAAAAUUUUUGAGAGGUCUACCUGUUUACG
This 1780-nucleotide long non-coding RNA is filed under the name Fragaria vesca (wild strawberry). RNAcentral describes it as "long non-coding RNA (FVES_LNC003727)". Lineage: Eukaryota; Viridiplantae; Streptophyta; Magnoliopsida; Rosales; Rosaceae. The record is from RNAcentral.